GACGAACGCUGGCGGCGUGCUUAACACAUGCAAGUCGAACGGAAAGGCCCUGCUUGCCGGGUACUCGAGUGGCGAACGGGUGAGUAACACGUGGGUGAUCUGCCCUGCACUUCGGGAUAAGCCUGGGAAACUGGGUCUAAUACCGGCUAGGUGCCAUUUUUAGUGUGAUGGUUGGAAAGUUUUUUCGGUGUAGGAUGAGCUCGCGGCCUAUCAGCUUGUGGGUGGGGUAAUGGCUUACCAAGGCGGCGACGGGUAGCCGGCCUGGGAGGGUGGACGGCCACAUUGGGACUGAGAGACGGCCCAGACUCCUACGGGAGGCAGCAGUGGGGAAUAUUGCACAAUGGGCGCAAGCCUGAUGCAGCGACGCCGCGUGGGGGAUGACGGCCUUCGGGUUGUAAACUCCUUUCGCUAGGGACGAAGCUUUUUGUGACGGUACCUAGAUAAGAAGCACCGGCUAACUACGUG
This 465-nucleotide ribosomal RNA is filed under the name uncultured bacterium. RNAcentral's name for it is "partial 16S ribosomal RNA". It matches the Rfam family "Bacterial small subunit ribosomal RNA", at positions 28 to 507 of the family's 1533-position model. The record is from RNAcentral.